This 324-nucleotide ribosomal RNA is filed under the name uncultured eukaryote. RNAcentral's name for it is "partial 18S ribosomal RNA". It matches the Rfam family "Eukaryotic small subunit ribosomal RNA", at positions 1470 to 1796 of the family's 1831-position model. The record is from RNAcentral.
CCCUUAGAUGUCCUGGGCUGCACGCGCGCUACACUGAUGUGUCCAGUAAGCACCUAACCUCUUCCGAAAGGAACGGGUAACCUUUGCAAAGCACAUCGUGAUGGGGAUAGAUUAUUGCAAUUAUUAGUCUUGAACGAGGAAUUCCUAGUAAGCACAAGUCAUCAGCUUGUGUUGAUUACGUCCCUGCCCUUUGUACACACUGCCCGUCGCUCAUACCGAUUGAAUGUUCCGGUGAGCUCUUCGGACUGCGCGGUCUGCAGUUUCUGCGUUCCGUGCGGAAAGUUGCGCAAACCUUAACAUUUAGAGGAAGGAGAAGUCGUAACA